AAAUUGAAGAGUUUGAUCAUGGCUCAGAUUGAACGCUGGCGGCAGGCCUAACACAUGCAAGUCGAGCGGUAGCACAGAGAGCUUGCUCUUGGGUGACGAGCGGCGGACGGGUGAGUAAUGUCUGGGAAACUGCCUGAUGGAGGGGGAUAACUACUGGAAACGGUAGCUAAUACCGCAUAA
RNAcentral lists this ribosomal RNA (180 nucleotides) under Klebsiella pneumoniae. RNAcentral's name for it is "partial 16S ribosomal RNA". It matches the Rfam family "Bacterial small subunit ribosomal RNA", at positions 1 to 176 of the family's 1533-position model. The record is from RNAcentral. Lineage: Bacteria; Pseudomonadati; Pseudomonadota; Gammaproteobacteria; Enterobacterales; Enterobacteriaceae. RNAcentral also lists the same sequence under 4 other names.